CAGCACCUCAAGUGGUCAGGAUGAUUAUUGGGCCUAAAGCAUCCGUAGCCUGCUUUGUUAGUUUUCGGUUAAGUCCAUACGCUCAACGUAUGGGCUGCCGGGAAUACUGCAAAGCUAGGGAGUGGGAGAGGUAGACGGUACUCGGUAGGAAGGGGUAAAAUCCUUUGAUCUAUUGAUGACCACCUGUGGCGAAGGCGGUCUACCAGAACACGUCCGACGGUGAGGGAUGAAAGCUGGGGGAGCAAACCGGAUUAGAGACCCGAGUAGUCC
RNAcentral lists this ribosomal RNA (270 nucleotides) under uncultured archaeon. Its description in RNAcentral is "partial 16S ribosomal RNA". It matches the Rfam family "Archaeal small subunit ribosomal RNA", at positions 477 to 747 of the family's 1478-position model. The record is from RNAcentral.